RNAcentral lists this long non-coding RNA (302 nucleotides) under Homo sapiens (human). RNAcentral's name for it is "non-protein coding lnc-ZNF213-3:1". The stretch from base 5 to 77 matches the Rfam family "tRNA". The record is from RNAcentral. Lineage: Eukaryota; Metazoa; Chordata; Mammalia; Primates; Hominidae.
AUCCGCCCCGGUGGCCUAAUGGAUAAGGCAUUGGCCUCCUAAGCCAGGGAUUGUGGGUUCGAGUCCCACCCGGGGUAAAGAAAGGCCGAAUUUUAGUGUUCCUUAUCGGGCAGAAGAGUUAGAAUGCGGUAUACUCCAGUGGAGGUGCGGAGUUUCCGAAGGGUUACCAAAAAGGCUCUAAAUCAGAAACCUCUACCUGUUUUCAAGGAAGACGAGCACAAUUUCACGUUACAGAAAAAAGGAGCCGAAUCUUUUACAGGAUGUUAAGUACCAUCCAUUUAACUUGAUAGAAAGGAAUGAUU